RNAcentral lists this ribosomal RNA (253 nucleotides) under uncultured bacterium. RNAcentral describes it as "partial 16S ribosomal RNA". It matches the Rfam family "Bacterial small subunit ribosomal RNA", at positions 524 to 776 of the family's 1533-position model. The record is from RNAcentral.
UACGUAGGGCGCAAGCGUUGUCCGGAAUUAUUGGGCGUAAAGAGCUCGUAGGCGGCUUGUCACGUCGGGUGUGAAAGCCCGGGGCUUAACCCCGGGUCUGCAUUCGAUACGGGCUAGCUAGAGUGUGGUAGGGGAGAUCGGAAUUCCUGGUGUAGCGGUGAAAUGCGCAGAUAUCAGGAGGAACACCGGUGGCGAAGGCGGAUCUCUGGGCCGUAACUGACGCUGAGGAGCGAAAGCAUGGGGAGCGAACAGG